GAUGAACGCUGGCGGCGUGCCUAAUACAUGCAAGUCGAGCGAACAGACGAGGAGCUUUCUCCUCUGACGUUAGCGGCGGACGGGUGAGUAACACGUGGAUAACCUACCUAUAAGACUGGGAUAACUACGGGAAACCGGAGCUAAUACCGGAUAAUAUAUUGAACCGCAUGGUGCAAUAGUGAAAGACGGUUUUGCUGUCACUUAUAGAUGGAUCCGCGCCGCAUUAGCUAGUUGGUAAGGUAACGGCUUACCAAGGCAACGAUGCGUAGCCGACCUGAGAGGGUGAUCGGCCACACUGGAACUGAGACACGGCCCAGACUCCUACGGGAGGCAGCAGUAGGGAAUCUUCCGCAAUGGGCGAAAGCCUGACGGAGCAACGCCGCGUGAGUGAUGAAGGUCUUCGGAUCGUAAAACGCUGUUAUUAGGGAAGAACAAAUGUGUAAGUAACUAUGCACGUCUUGACGGUACCGAAUCAGAAAGCCACGGCUAACUACGUG
RNAcentral lists this ribosomal RNA (497 nucleotides) under uncultured bacterium. RNAcentral's name for it is "partial 16S ribosomal RNA". It matches the Rfam family "Bacterial small subunit ribosomal RNA", at positions 28 to 507 of the family's 1533-position model. The record is from RNAcentral.